Molecule: ribosomal RNA, 1331 nt
Filed under: uncultured bacterium
Lineage: Bacteria
Description: bacterial SSU rRNA
Rfam family: Bacterial small subunit ribosomal RNA
Source: RNAcentral
GACGAACGCUGGCGGCGUGCUUAACACAUGCAAGUCGAACGGACCCUUUGGGGUUAGUGGCGAACGGGUGAGUAACACGUGGGUGAUCUGCCCUGCACUUUGGGAUAAGCCUGGGAAACUGGGUCUAAUACCGGAUAGGACUACGCACUGCAUGGUGUGUGGUGGAAAGCUUUUGCGGUGUGGGAUGGGCCCGCGGCCUAUCAGCUUGUUGGUGGGGUGAUGGCCUACCAAGGCGACGACGGGGUAGCCGGCCUGAGAGGGUGACCGGCCACACUGGGACUGAGAUACGGCCCAGACUCCUACGGGAGGCACCAGUGGGGAAUAUUGCACAAUGGGCGCAAGCCUGAUGCAGCGACGCCGCGUGAGGAUGACGCUUCGGNNGGUUGUAAACCUCUUUCGCCAGGGACGAAGCGCAAGUGACGGUACCUGGAGAAGAAGGACCGGCCAACUACGUGCCAGCAGCCGCGGUAAUACGUAGGGUCCGAGCGUUGUCCGGAAUUACUGGGCGUAAAGAGCUCGUAGGUGGUUUGUCGCGUUGUUCGUGAAAACUCACAGCUUAACUGUGGGCGUGCGGGCGAUACGGGCAGACUGGAGUACUGCAGGGGAGACUGGAAUUCCUGGUGUAGCGGUGGAAUGCGCAGAUAUCAGGAGGAACACCGGUGGCGAAGGCGGGUCUCUGGGCAGUAACUGACGCUGAGGAGCGAAAGCGUGGGGAGCGAACAGGAUUAGAUACCCUGGUAGUCCACGCCGUAAACGGUGGGUACUAGGUGUGGGUUUCCUUCCUUGGGAUCCGUGCCGUAGCUAACGCAUUAAGUACCCCGCCUGGGGAGUACGGCCGCAAGGCUAAAACUCAAAGGAAUUGACGGGGGCCCGCACAAGCGGCGGAGCAUGUGGAUUAAUUCGAUGCAACGCGAAGAACCUUACCUGGGUUUGACAUGCACAGGACGCCGGCAGAGAUGUCGGUUCCCUUGUGGCCUGUGUGCAGGUGGUGCAUGGCUGUCGUCAGCUCGUGUCGUGAGAUGUUGGGUUAAGUCCCGCAACGAGCGCAACCCUUGUCUCAUGUUGCCAGCACGUUAUGGUGGGGACUCGUGAGAGACUGCCGGGGUCAACUCGGAGGAAGGUGGGGAUGACGUCAAGUCAUCAUGCCCCUUAUGUCCAGGGCUUCACACAUGCUACAAUGGCCGGUACAAAGGGCUGCGAUGCCGUGAGGUGGAGCGAAUCCUUUCAAAGCCGGUCUCAGUUCGGAUCGGGGUCUGCAACUCGACCCCGUGAAGUCGGAGUCGCUAGUAAUCGCAGAUCAGCAACGCUGCGGUGAAUACGUUCCCGGGCCU